Molecule: microRNA precursor, 76 nt
Filed under: Pongo abelii (Sumatran orangutan)
Lineage: Eukaryota; Metazoa; Chordata; Mammalia; Primates; Hominidae
Description: miRNA
Source: RNAcentral
UUGCCUACCUUGUUAGUCUGAUGAUCAGACACAAAUGUGGCUCUGUGGCUGGUCAUGAGGCUAACAAGGUAGGCAC